UCCUGGUUUCCCAGGCAGUCCCAUCAGAGUGCCCUCUUACGAAGUAGCAACUGAUAGUAGGGGUUGCGCUCGUUAUAGGACUUAACCCAACAUCUCACGACACGAGCUGACGACAGCCAUGCAGCACCUGUUCAUAUGUCUCUGGUUUCCCAGAGAAAACUCCGUUUCUGGAGCGGUCAUAUGUAUGUCAAACCUAGGUAAGGUUCCUCGCGUAGUGUCGAAUUAAACCACAUGUUCCACCGCUUGUGCGGACCCCCGUCAAUUCCUUUGAGUUUUAAUCUUGCGACCGUAGUCCCCAGGCGGAUCACUUAACGCGUUAGCUACGACACUAAUUCUGCAGGGCAGAACCAACGUCUAGUGAUCAUCGUUUACGGCGUGGACUAC
This 384-nucleotide unclassified non-coding RNA is filed under the name uncultured bacterium. RNAcentral's name for it is "contains 16S-23S intergenic spacer region". The record is from RNAcentral.